RNAcentral lists this ribosomal RNA (253 nucleotides) under uncultured bacterium. RNAcentral describes it as "partial 16S ribosomal RNA". It matches the Rfam family "Bacterial small subunit ribosomal RNA", at positions 524 to 776 of the family's 1533-position model. The record is from RNAcentral.
UACGGGGGGGGCAAGCGUUGUUCGGAAUUACUGGGCGUAAAGGGUUCGUAGGCGGCUUGCUAAGUCAGACGUGAAAUCCCUCAGCUUAACUGGGGAACUGCGUCUGAGACUGGUGAGCUUGAGUGCAGGAGAGGAACGCGGAAUUCCAGGUGUAGCGGUGAAAUGCGUAGAUAUCUGGAGGAACACCGGUGGCGAAGGCGGCGUUCUGGACUGAUACUGACACUGAGGAACGAAAGCCAGGGGAGCAAACAGG